Molecule: ribosomal RNA, 1403 nt
Filed under: metagenome
Description: bacterial SSU rRNA
Rfam family: Bacterial small subunit ribosomal RNA
Source: RNAcentral
AGAGUUUGAUCCUGGCUCAGGACUAACGCUGACGGCGUGCCUAAUCUAUGCAAGUCAAGGGUAUUUAUACCCUGGCAGACGAGUGAGUAACACGUAGGAAUCAACCUUUAACUCGACCAUAACCCAUCGAAAGAUGGACUAAUAGUCGAUAGUCUCUCUGUGUAAAAACGGAAGAGUAAAGUUUUAACGGUUAAAGACGAGCCUGCGUCCUAUCAGCUUGUUGGUAAGGUAAAAGCUUACCAAGGCUAUGACGGGUAGGGGGUGUGAGAGCAUGACCCCCCACGAUGGCACUGAGAUACGGGCCAUACAUCUACGGAUGGCAGCAAGUAGGAAUAUUGCGCAAUGGACAAAAGUCUGACGCAGCGACGCCGUGUGUAGGAAGAAGCAUUUCGGUGUGUAAACUAACGUCAAAAAGGGGCGGCUAACUUCGUGCCAGCAGCAGCGGUAAUACGAGGGCCCCAAGCGUUGUCCGGUUUUAUUGGGCGUAAAGAGUUCUGUAGGCGGUAUUGUAAGUUAUGGGUUAAAUUCUCCGGCUCAACCGGAGGCUCGCUCGUAAUACUGCAGUACUAGAGAUAGACAAGGGAGGGUGGAAUGCAUGGUGUAGUGGUGGAAUACGUUGAUAUCAUGCAGAACACCGAAGGCGUAGGCAACCCUCUAGGUCUUAUCUGACGCUGAUAGACGAAAGCGUGGGGAGCGAAACGGAUUAGAUACCCGUGUAGCCCACGCCGUAAACGAUGUUCACUCGGUCCGUGUUUUCGAUUUAUCGAUUAUGCGAGCCUCAGCUAACGCAAUAAGUGAACCGCCUGGGAAGUACGGCCGCAAGGCUAAAACUCAAAGGAAUUGGCGGGGACCCGCACAAGCGGUGGAGCGCCUGCUUUAAUUCGAUGAUAAGCGAAGAACCUUACCGAGGUUUGACAUACUCCUGCAUCCUUGUGGAAACACAGGGGGUCCUUCGAGGGUGGAGUACAGGUAUUGCAUGGCUGUUGUCAGCUCGUGUCGUGAGAUGUACCGUUAAGUCGGGUAACGAGCGCAACCCUUACUGUUAGUUGUAUCACUCUAGCGGAACUGCCCGGGCAACCGGGAGGAAGGUGAGGAUGACAACAAGUCGGCAUGGUCCUUAUACCUCGGGCAAGACAGGCGCUACAAUGGCCAGUACAACGGGUCGCGACAUGGUAACAUGAAGCUAAUCUCUAAAAACUGGUCUCAGUUCGAAUUGUGGGCUGAAAUUCGCCCACAUGAAGUUGGAAUCGCUAGUAAUCGCCGGUCAGCUAUACGGCGGUGAAUACGUUCUCGGGUCUUGCACACACUGCCCGUCAGGUCAGCAGAGUUGGGAAUACCCGACGUCCCGUUUUUUAACGGGCCCAAGGUAGGCUCAAUGAUGAGGAUUAAGUCGUAACAAGGUA